This 383-nucleotide unclassified non-coding RNA is filed under the name Hevea brasiliensis (rubber tree). The record is from RNAcentral. Lineage: Eukaryota; Viridiplantae; Streptophyta; Magnoliopsida; Malpighiales; Euphorbiaceae.
ACCACGUUAAGUAUUUACAGCAAUCUACACUAAUGAAGACUAAAAGACUGUUCAAGAUCAAGCGAGGGAUUCACCAUCUUAUCUGUGCGCUGUACAAGAGCUCUGGCUUGAGGAAGUGUACAUUUUAAGCAGUACUUCUUACUUAAACAGCGGCAACAACGGAUUCUAUUCAUCUACAGGAGAAUCAUCAUCUUCCGCUAUCAUCCAAGGCUGCUUAGGACCCUUUCCCUGCCGUAUAAUUCUAGGAGCACUUUCAGUCAUAUCAACUACAGUAGACGGAUCAGCCACUCGAACACCCGCAUCAACAACAAAAUCAAGUCCCUCUGGACCAUAUACAUCAGCAAUAAUGACGGGAUCCAGUAUCCACUCAUCCUCCUUUGGUG